This 1488-nucleotide ribosomal RNA is filed under the name uncultured bacterium. RNAcentral describes it as "16S ribosomal RNA". It matches the Rfam family "Bacterial small subunit ribosomal RNA". The record is from RNAcentral.
AGAGUUUGAUCCUGGCUCAGGAUGAACGCUAGCGGCAGGCUUAAUACAUGCAAGUCGAGGGGCAGCACGGGUAGCAAUACCUGGUGGCGACCGGCGCACGGGUGCGUAACGCGUAUGUAAUCUACCAUUAGGGAUAGCCCAUAGAAAUGUGGAUUAAUAUCUCAUAGUUCUUUUGUUCCGCAUGGGACGAAAGAUAAAGCUCCGGCGGUUACAGAUGGGCAUGCGUGACAUUAGCUAGUUGGUAAGGUAACGGCUUACCAAGGCUACGAUGUCUAGGGGUUCUGAGAGGAUGAUCCCCCACACUGGUACUGAGACACGGACCAGACUCCUACGGGAGGCAGCAGUGAGGAAUAUUGGUCAAUGGCCGGAAGGCUGAACCAGCCAUCCCGCGUGCAGGAUGACGGCCCUAUGGGUUGUAAACUGCUUUUGUACCUGAAGAAUAGGCCCAACGAGUUGGGACCCGACGGUAGUGUAUGAAUAAGCAUCGGCUAACUCCGUGCCAGCAGCCGCGGUAAUACGGAGGAUGCAAGCGUUAUCCGGAUUCAUUGGGUUUAAAGGGUGCGUAGGCGGAUUGAUAAGUCAGUGGUGAAAGCCUGCAGCUUAACUGCAGAACUGCCAUUGAUACUGCCAGUCUGGAGUAUGGUUGAGGUAGCUGGAAUGUGUCAUGUAGCGGUGAAAUGCUAGAGAUGACACAGAACACCGGUGGCGAAGGCAGGUUACCAACCCAUUACUGACGCUGAGGCACGAAAGCGUGGGGAUCAAACAGGAUUAGAUACCCUGGUAGUCCACGCCGUAAACUAUGAUUACUAGUUGUUGGCGAUACAUUGCCAGUGACUGAGCGAAAGCAUUAAGUAAUCCACCUGGGGAGUACGUUCGCAAGAAUGAAACUCAAAGGAAUUGACGGGGGCCCGCACAAGCGGAGGAGCAUGUGGUUUAAUUCGAUGAUACGCGAGGAACCUUACCUGGGCUCGAACGUAGAGCGACAGAUUGUGAAAGCACAGUCCUUCUUCGGACGAUCUACAAGGUGCUGCAUGGUUGUCGUCAGCUCGUGCCGUGAGGUGUCGGGUUAAGUCCCAUAACGAGCGCAACCCUUAUCGUUAGUUGCCAGCGGGUCAAGCCGGGGACUCUAGCGAGACUGCCACCGUAAGGUGUGAGGAAGGUGGGGAUGACGUCAAAUCAGCACGGCCCUUAUGUCCAGGGCUACACACGUCAUACAAUGGCUGGUACAAAGGGUUGCCAACCCGCGAGGGGGAGCUAAUCCCAUAAAGCCAGUCGUAGUCCGGAUCGUAGUCUGCAACUCGACUACGUGAAGUCGGAAUCGCUAGUAAUCGUGGAUCAGAAUGUCACGGUGAAUACGUUCCCGGGUCUUGUACACACCGCCCGUCACACCAUGGGAGCGGGUUCUGCCAGAAGUAGUUAGCCUAACCGCAAGGAGGGCGAUUACCACGGCAGGGUUCGUGACUGGGGUGAAGUCGUAACAAGGUAACC